CAGGGAAACAACUAUCGGCUCUCCUCGACGACCCUCAUGUGAGUAUUCUAAAUUUGAGAUUUAUACUGUAUAUAGUUUAACAUUACAUGAUUUUAUCUUUUUAAAAUGUCAAUAUGUCAACUUGAAGUAAUAACUCAUUUGACGGCGUCGAUGGAAGAGGAGGCGCAGGGUCUCGUGCGUGAAGUAGCGGUUCCGCACGCCCAAGACGACCAGAUGUCCGAUUCGAUCCCCGAUCGAGAUUGGGUGAGUUAUUUAUUAAUAUUUUGUAUGAGUUAGCAAUUAUUGAAUAAGUUAAUAAUAUGUAAGUUUGUGUAGGACCGCGAGCCAAUUGAUCGGGCAUCACCUCCGUCAGCGGCAUCACCUCCGCCCAGGGCAUCACCUCCACUACUGGCGUCACUUCCUUCCCCUCAGGGUAAUUAUUCUAAUGAUUUGUACCAUCACCUGACUGGAUUUAUAGUACAGGAGGUCGGCGCAUUGCGUUGAGAGCAGGAAGGAGUUAUAUCAGGGGAGGUCGGCGUGCUGCGCCGAGAGCUGAUAGGAGUUAUAUUAGAGGAGAUCGGCGCGCUGUGUCGAGAUAUGGUGGAGCGGGUCGACGAUCUAGGACGUCAGCUGGUAAGGAGGGUCGAGGAUAUAGCAGAUGAUGUUAGCGUACUGUGUGGGCAUUUAGGGGACCUUCGUGAUGAGGUAACAACACUUCGAUAUGAUAUAGUAGGUAGACGAUGGGUUGAUAGAGGUGACAACCGGGGGAUGAUCGAGAGGAUAGAAAUGGGAGUCACCCACAGUCGUAGUCAGAGGAUGCAUGAGACUCAUUUUUUCAGUCCAUGGAGGAUAGGGUGGACUUGAGGACUGAAGGAGGGGUGGCCCCGAGGGCAAAGGAGGGGAUGGCCCCGAGGUCGGAGGAGGGAGUGGCCUCG
This 914-nucleotide long non-coding RNA is filed under the name Olea europaea subsp. europaea. Lineage: Eukaryota; Viridiplantae; Streptophyta; Magnoliopsida; Lamiales; Oleaceae. The record is from RNAcentral.